AUGUGAUCGUCUCUCGCAUAUCAAUAAGCGGAGGAAAAGAAACUAACAAGGAUUCCCCUAGUAACGGCGAGUGAAGCGGGAAGAGCUCAAAUUUGAAAUCUUAAAGGGUUUCCCUUUACGAAUUGUAGUUUAAAGAAGUGUUUUCUGUUGAGGUUUUGGUAAAAGUUCUUUGGAAUAGGACAUCAUAGAGGGUGAGAAUCCCGUAUUUGACCUUUACUUUCAACUUUGUGAUACACUUUCAAAGAGUCGGAUUGUUUGGGAAUGCAGUCCAAAAGGGUGGUAAAUUUCAUCUAAAGCUAAAUAUUGGCGAGAGACCGAUAGCGAACAAGUACCGUGAGGGAAAGAUGAAAAGAACUUUGAAAAGAGAGUUAAACAGUACGUGAAAUUGUCAAAAGGGAAGCGUUUGACACCAGUGUUGUUUUUCUGAAAAUCAAUUAAAGAACUGUUUAUGCUAAGCUGUUUAGACUUUAUCAGCUAAUCUGUUUAGUUUUGAGCUUUUCUUUAAUGCACUUUUCAGUUAACAAGUCAACAUCAAUUUCUUUUGCUGUAAAAAAGCUUGAGGAAGGUGGCUUGAGAUUCGUCUUAAGUGUUUAUAGCCUCUUGCCUAUGCAGUCGGAGAGAUUGAGGUCUGCAGCGUAGAUCCUUCGGGGCUAAAUGCAUUUGUGCUAAGUUAUAGCAUUUUAUAGACAACUUGUUGACUAUGAUUUGUCUUGUAGCUUACUCGCUUAUGUUAUUUUACCUACGCUUAGGAUGUUGAGCGCAUGUCUCUCUCU
Molecule: ribosomal RNA, 773 nt
Filed under: uncultured Neocallimastigales
Lineage: Eukaryota; Fungi; Neocallimastigomycota; Neocallimastigomycetes; Neocallimastigales
Description: partial large subunit ribosomal RNA
Rfam family: Eukaryotic large subunit ribosomal RNA
Source: RNAcentral